Regulatory RNA element from Nocardioides sp. Leaf285, 71 nucleotides. It matches the Rfam family "Actino-pnp RNA". NCBI's taxonomy places the organism in Bacteria, Bacillati, Actinomycetota, Actinomycetes, Propionibacteriales, Nocardioidaceae. The record is from Rfam.
CCCGGUCCUCGGUAGUGGCCCUCAGACCCGCCAGGAGGCGGACGCGCUGCGGGCCUCGAUCGAAGACCGGC